RNAcentral lists this ribosomal RNA (213 nucleotides) under Bacillota bacterium. RNAcentral describes it as "Firmicutes bacterium (anaerobic digester metagenome) partial 23S ribosomal RNA". It matches the Rfam family "Bacterial large subunit ribosomal RNA", at positions 1158 to 1378 of the family's 2925-position model. Lineage: Bacteria; Bacillati; Bacillota. The record is from RNAcentral.
GCCGCGCCGAGAAUAUCCGGGGCUAAGCUCGUCCGAAGCUUCGGCAGAAGGUUUACCUUCUAGGCAGGGGAGCAUGCAUGUGCACAGAAGCUGUACUGCAAGGUAUGGUGGAGCGCAUGGAAGAGAGAAUGCCGGUAUAAGUAGCGAAAAGAGGGGUGAGAAUCCCCUCCGCCGAAAGCCUAAGGUUUCCUGAGGAAGGUUCGUCCGCUCAGG